ACUGUUAUGUGAUCAGCUGCUAACUGAAAUGUUGGUGGUUCGAACCCACCUAGCAGCU
RNAcentral lists this transfer RNA (58 nucleotides) under Loxodonta africana (African savanna elephant). The record is from Rfam by way of RNAcentral. Lineage: Eukaryota; Metazoa; Chordata; Mammalia; Proboscidea; Elephantidae.